RNAcentral lists this ribosomal RNA (497 nucleotides) under uncultured bacterium. RNAcentral describes it as "partial 16S ribosomal RNA". It matches the Rfam family "Bacterial small subunit ribosomal RNA", at positions 28 to 507 of the family's 1533-position model. The record is from RNAcentral.
GAUGAACGCUGGCGGCGUGCCUAACACAUGCAAGUCGAGCGAACAGACCAGGAGUUUGCUCCUCUGACGUUAGCGGCGGACGGGACAGUAACAUGUGGAUAACCUACCUAUAAGACUGGGAUAAUUUUGGGAAACCGGAGCUAAGACCGGAUAAUAUAUUGAACUUCAUGGUUCAAUAGUGAAAGUCGGUUUUUCUGUCACUAAUAGAUGGCUCCGCCCCGCAUUAGCUAGUUGUUAAGGUAACUGCUUACCAAGGCAACGAUGCGUAGCCGACCUGAGAGGGAGAUCCGGUACACGGGAACAGAGACAGGGCAGAGACUCCUGCGGGAGGAAGCAGUAGAGACUCCUACGCGAGGGAGGAGUGCCUGACGGAGCAAAGCCGCGUGAGUCAUGAAGGUCUUAGGAUGGUAGAACUAUGUUAUUAGGGAAGAACAAAUGUGUUAGUAGCUGUGAACGUAUUGACGGUACCUGAAGAGAAAGCCACGGCUAACUACGUG